RNAcentral lists this ribosomal RNA (508 nucleotides) under uncultured bacterium. RNAcentral's name for it is "partial 16S ribosomal RNA". The record is from RNAcentral.
GGAGUUAGCCGGUGCUUCUUCUGUGAGUGAUGUCCUUCCUGCCGGCUAUUAACCCGCAGGCCUUCUUCCUCACUGAAAGUGCUUUACAACCCGAAGGCCUUCUUCACACACGCGGCAUGGCUGGAUCAGGGUUGCCCCCAUUGUCCAAUAUUCCCCACUGCUGCCUCCCGUAGGAGUCUGGGCCGUGUCUCAGUCCCAGUGUGGCUGAUCAUCCUCUCAGACCAGCUACGGAUCGUCGCCUUGGUGAGCCGUUACCUCACCAACCAGCUAAUCCGACAUAGGCUCAUCCGAUAGCGCGAGGCCCGAAGGUCCCCCGCUUUCCCCCGUAGGGCGUAUGCGGUAUUAGCCUGGGUUUCCCCCAGGUUAUCCCCCACUACCGGGCAGAUUCCUAUGAAUUACUCACCCGUCCGCCGCUCGCCACCAGGGAGCAAGCUCCCCGUGCUGCCGCUCGACUUGCAUGUGUUAGGCCUGCCGCCAGCGUUCAAUCUGAGCCAUGAUCAAACUCUGA